CCUACGGGUGGCUGCAGUAGGGAAUCUUUCACCAUGGGCGAAAGCCUGAUCGAGCAACGCCGCGUGCAGGAUUAAGGCCUUCGGGGUUUAAACUUCUUUUAUAAGCGGGAAAUAUGAUGGUAACUUAUGAAUAAGGAUCGGCUAACUACGUGCCAGCAGCCGCGGUCAUACUUAGGAUCCGAGCAUUAUCAGGAGUGACUGGUGGUAAAUAGUUGCGUAGGUGGCAUAAUAAGUAGCUAGGGAAAUCUGGUGGCUCAAACAUGCAGACUAUUAGCUAAACUGUUAAGCUCGAGACCGUUAGGGGUAAGUGGAAUGUCUAGUGUAGGAGUGAAAUGCGUAGAUAUGACAAGGAACACCAAUAGCGUAGGCAGGUUGCUGGGACGGUUCUGACACUAAGGCACGAAAGCGUAGGGAGCAAACGGGAUUAGAUACCCUAGUAGUC
RNAcentral lists this ribosomal RNA (442 nucleotides) under uncultured bacterium. RNAcentral's name for it is "partial 16S ribosomal RNA". It matches the Rfam family "Bacterial small subunit ribosomal RNA", at positions 338 to 795 of the family's 1533-position model. The record is from RNAcentral.